GUGCAUCAACCAUUUUUAUAUUUCUUAAAAAAAUGUCUGAAUUUGGUAGUAUCAGGGGAAUGAAAUGACAAGUAUCAAUGUGCUUAUGAAUAACUUGAGAAAAUGUCUCAUAAAAAAUUCAAUAUUCAAGAAAUCGUUAUAGUAAAUAUUUCGUAAAUUCUAGAGAUCUACAGACCACCUGACAAAUUCACGGAAUAAAAAAAAUACAAAACAUACAUACUGACACAAUUUUUCUGGAUUUACAUAAAGACAGUCAAUCAUGUAUCAGGUUCCAAAAUCAAAUUUUAUCGUAAGCCCAGCGAAGCGAACGGGUAACGGCUAUUAUUGUAUGAAAGUAAAAGCAAGACUGUAGAAUGUGCAAAAUAUUUUGUAGUUCAAUCCUACAAAUGCAUGUAAUGUAGAAGAG
Chelonus insularis is the source of this 406-nucleotide long non-coding RNA. RefSeq lists it as uncharacterized. NCBI's taxonomy places the organism in Eukaryota, Metazoa, Arthropoda, Insecta, Hymenoptera, Braconidae. The transcript has 3 exons. The record is from RefSeq and is a predicted model, not a curated record.